CUGGAUAUUCACUAGAAGCACUGAAUCUGAAGCUGAAGUUCCAAGACUUUGGCCACCUGAUGUGAAGAACCGACACAUUGGAUAAGACCCUAAGGCUGGAAAAGAUUGAAGGUUAUGCAUCUUUCUCAAUCAACAUGGGCACCGGCUGCUGGGCACAGUGGGCGUGUGGUCCCCCAGCCAUCAUCAACCGAGGCAGGGAUGAGGAGACAGUGGCUCUUGGGCCAGAGGCCGACUCCCACCAGGACCCCGUCUGCUGGGACCGGACACCCGAGACCAGAAGCAGGACCCACACCACCCACGAGACCAGAGACGAGAGCAGUACGGUACCUCCCUCCUCCUGCACCGGCUUGGCC
Long non-coding RNA from Cervus elaphus (red deer), 353 nucleotides. RefSeq lists it as uncharacterized. The record is from RefSeq and is a predicted model, not a curated record. The transcript has 3 exons. NCBI's taxonomy places the organism in Eukaryota, Metazoa, Chordata, Mammalia, Artiodactyla, Cervidae.